GGGGGGUUAGCUCAGUUGGCUAGAGCGCGUGAAUGGCAUUCACGAGGUCGGGGGUUCAACUCCCCUACCCUCCACCA
Molecule: transfer RNA, 77 nt
Filed under: Lentisphaerota bacterium
Lineage: Bacteria; Pseudomonadati; Lentisphaerota
Description: Lentisphaerae bacterium (hot springs metagenome) tRNA-Ala
Rfam family: tRNA
About the family: Transfer RNA (tRNA) molecules are approximately 80 nucleotides in length. Their secondary structure includes four short double-helical elements and three loops (D, anti-codon, and T loops). Further hydrogen bonds mediate the characteristic L-shaped molecular structure. tRNAs have two regions of fundamental functional importance: the anti-codon, which is responsible for specific mRNA codon recognition, and the 3' end, to which the tRNAs corresponding amino acid is attached (by aminoacyl-tRNA synthetases). tRNAs cope with the degeneracy of the genetic code in two manners: having more than one tRNA (with a specific anti-codon) for a particular amino acid; and 'wobble' base-pairing, i.e. permitting non-standard base-pairing at the 3rd anti-codon position.
Source: RNAcentral